GACUCCGUGGUCUAGUUGGUUACGACGUCUGCUUCACAGCAUCAAAAUCGCAGAAGGUCCUGGGUUCGAGUCCCAGCGGAGCCA
Molecule: transfer RNA, 84 nt
Filed under: Sporothrix schenckii 1099-18
Lineage: Eukaryota; Fungi; Ascomycota; Sordariomycetes; Ophiostomatales; Ophiostomataceae
Description: tRNA-Val
Rfam family: tRNA
About the family: Transfer RNA (tRNA) molecules are approximately 80 nucleotides in length. Their secondary structure includes four short double-helical elements and three loops (D, anti-codon, and T loops).
Source: RNAcentral